CCUACGGGGGGCAGCAGUGAGGAAUAUUGGUCAAUGGACGGGAGUCUGAACCAGCCAAGCCGCGUGAAGGAGGAAGGCACUAUGUGUUGUAAACUUCUUUUGUAUGGGAAUAAAGACUGCCACGUGUGGCAGUUUGAAUGUACCAUAAGAAUAAGGAUCGGCUAACUCCGUGCCAGCAGCCGCGGUAAUACGGAGGAUCCGAGCGUUAUCCGGAUUUAUUGGGUUUAAAGGGUGCGUAGGUGGUCUGUUAAGUCAGUUGUGAAAGUCCGAGGCUCAACCGUGAAAUUGCAGUUGAUACUGUCAGUCUAGAGUGGAGUAGAGGUAGGCGGAAUGCGCGGUGUAGCGGUGAAAUGCUUAGAUAUCACGCAGAACUCCGAUUGCGAAGGCAGCUCACCGGACUCCAACUGACGCUGAGGCACGAAAGUGUGGGUAUCAAACAGGAUUAGAUACCCGAGUAGUC
This 460-nucleotide ribosomal RNA is filed under the name uncultured bacterium. RNAcentral's name for it is "partial 16S ribosomal RNA". It matches the Rfam family "Bacterial small subunit ribosomal RNA", at positions 338 to 795 of the family's 1533-position model. The record is from RNAcentral.